CCUCUUAUUCCUCGUAUCGCUCUGUAAUGACGUCGGAGCUAUCGUCGGCGGUGAACGAUACCUACGCUAAUCCGUCUCGAAUUCACACCAUAGAUUCCCCAUGAAUCCCUCUUUCCAACCAUGCCACUGAUUUCCCUAGAAUCUCACCAGAGCUCGUCGAAUAUCCAUUGAAAUAUUUUCUGGCCAUGACGCAACCAGUUCCAAACGACACCAAAUUUACACCCUAGAACCGCCAUAAUCUCCUCUACCCAACCCCUAACGUCUUGACUUCGAAUCUUGCCGGAGCUACUCGAAUCUUCAUUUAAGCUAUUUCUAGCCAAAACCCUAAACACUCCAAAUGGUACCAAAUUGGCGCAUUAUGGUCUUCUCAUCAUUAUCAUGAUGAAUUCCUUACUCAUGGCGUUCGAAUGUCAUCGGAAAAGGGUGGAUUUGGGAAAAUGUGGUUGACUAAUUGGGCUUCUUGCUAGUAAGUUCUUCUGCGUUGUUUCCUUUUUACUUUUCUGUUGAUAUUUUUUUAAGUUGUUAUUAACCCUUAAUAGAAAAAUUAGUAAAAAGCUUCUCCAGUUUUGAUUUUGUUUUACUCUGUUCAUAGGUUUAAAUUGUUAGUUUAGUGUUUGUUCGAAUUUGUUAAGUAAGUGCAUUUGGGUAUUAAUGAAAGUUAGUUCUGCUUGAUUCAGUAAUUAAUUCUAAUGACCCGACCUGCAUCUUCGCCCCGAUUUUCCCGUUCCAUGCUUCUAUAUGUUUCAUUAUAUGUGUUUGGUGAAUUUGAAGUAAUUCGGAUAGAGUUCGGUUAGAAAUAAGACAAUUAGUUUGUUUAAGAGAAGGUUAGCUUGGAAAAGUCAAUCGGAUGUUGACUUGUGAGUUAGAGGGCUCAAAAUGGAUUCCGAUGAUUUUUCUAGUUUCGGGUGAUGAUUUAAGGCUUAAAGGUGCAAUCGGAAUUGAAUUUGGAGAUCCGGUGCAGAAUUAGGCUUGAAUUGGCUAAGUUUGAAUUUUGGCGAAUUCCGAUUGAUAGGUGAGAUUUUGAUCCGGGGGUCGAGUUGGAAUUCCGACAGUUGCAGCAGCUCCAUUAGGUGAUUUUGGAUAUGCGUGCAAAGUUUCAGAUCAUUCGUAGGUGUUUAGGUCGGGUUUUUUUAUCAAAUGCUAGUUUCGGAAGUUUUAGUUUGACUUAGGCUUGAAUCCGUGGUGAUUUGACGAUUUUGUUGUAGACGAUAGUGUUUUCAUGCUACGAGCAAGUUUAAAUGAAGUAAUAGAACAUAUCUGUGCAUUUGGUUGAGGUCCCGAGGGCCUCGGGGUGAUUUCGGAUGGCUAACGGGGAAUUUUGAACAUGAAUAGUGCAGCAAAAAUUUCAGAGCAGAAUUGCUCUCUGCGAUCGCAAGACUGGGGCUACAAUCGCAUAGAAGGUUCUGAAGGGGGUGCUAAUUUGGUCUCUGCGAUCGCGUAGGCUUAAGUGUUUGGUUAGUGCGAUCGCGUAAGAGCGCGUGCGAUCACGUAGGGUCUUUGGAUAGUGUUCUGCGAUCGCAUGGUCUUACCUACGAUUGCGUACGGGGAAUUUGAGGGCCUGGAUUUUUGGUCAAUGUGAUCGCAUAGAGAAAUCUCUACAAUAGUCGGACAGAAUGUUUAAAAACCCAUUGGUCCGCGACCCACAUCAUUUUUCCACCAUUGUUACUCCGCCAAGAGAGCUUUCUGACCGAUUUGAAGAGGGUUUUCGACGGGUUUUGAUUUAAGGUAAGUCUCUUGACUUAGAAACACCAUUUUAUCGAAGAAUCAACACUCAAAUUCAUGAAAGUGGGUUGAAAUUAUGAAGAAUUAGGGCUUGAUUUUUGAAAACGAAUUUUUAGGAUUUGAAAGGCCAUUUGAACUCCACUUUUGGUUAACUUUAUAUGUACGGACUCGUGGAAAGACGAGGAAUCCGUUGAUGUAAUUAUCAAUUUUUUUUUGAAAAGUGGGCCUCGGGGCUCGGGUUUUACCAAUUUCGUGAAUUUUAGUACUUUUCAAGUAUUUUUGAUUGGGUUAUGUUUCUUUAGCCCAUAUUUAUGUAUUUAUUGUGAUUUUGACUAGAUUCGACGUGCGAGGAGGUAGAUACAAAAUGAAAAAGCAUUGUGGACCAGCCUACGAUCGGUUAGAGGUGAGUAGUUUGUAUAGAUGAUGGCCUGAGGGUUUGAAACCCCGGUAUAUCACAUUGUGACGCUAUAUUAGGGCGUGACUCGCACCCCAUGGCAGGUGCGGAAAUAUUUAUGACUGGGGAUUUGUGACUUGGCCCAUCCCAAACAAGAAUUAUACCGUAUUGGCAAUUGAUACACACCCUAUAUUGAAUAUAUCUGGGCUUAUUGACAUGUUUGGGGCCUUGUGCCGAUUUGUAGCAUCCGUCUAGGAUGAAUAUCAUUGUGAUAGCAUGAUUUGCAUAAUCAUUGAUCUCGGUCCUAUGUUUAAUCAUUGUAAUGAAAUGCUAAGUCACCUUUCCUGAAAUUAAUCAGUGGAUGAAUAUAAUUUUGAUAGCAUGCUUGUAUAAUCAUUAUUCUCAGUCCUGUGUUUAAUCACUGUUAUGAAUUGCCAAGUCACUUUUCCUGAAGUUAAAUAACUAAGUUAUAUUCUUCUUAAUCAUUGGAAUUUGGGAAAUUAAUUGAAUAUGUUAUGUGACUCAUAUGCAUAAUGUGAACUGAGUAUGGAUCGGGGCUGCACGUUGCAGUGAUGAUAUGGUGGUAUUGCGCUUGGGCUGUAGGAGCCCUUCCGGAGUCUGUACAUCCCCCAGUGAGCGCCGUCUACGUUAAAUGGAUCGGACUGUAUGUCGCAACGGGUCAUGUGCAUUGCAUUGCAUUCUUGUAUUAUACUUGACUGAUAUACUUGAUAUUGUUUUACUGUUGGUUCAUUGUUAAUGUGUCGGACUGUUAGUUUUAGCUUUACUUUGUGGCAUUUUGUGGAUUCUUAUCUUCAGACAUUUUAUAUACUUAUUACUCACUGAGUUGGUAGUACUCACCCCUACUCCCUGCACCUUGUGUGCAG
This 3000-nucleotide long non-coding RNA is filed under the name Nicotiana benthamiana. Its description in RNAcentral is "long non-coding RNA (NBEN_LNC025208)". The record is from RNAcentral. Lineage: Eukaryota; Viridiplantae; Streptophyta; Magnoliopsida; Solanales; Solanaceae.